AUUUCAACACUUAUAUACACAGGUGGUUUUCAACAAACUCAGCUACAUAGGAUUGUACAAUGGGUUUAUUCAGUGUGGCUGUGUCUUAUGGAGAAUUCCGGUGUGGACUUGUGAGGAUCUGCACUAUUUCACGUUUACAACAUUAGGGAUAAAUUUCUCAACUGAUUUUUGCCCACUCUACAGUAUAUGUAGUGCUGCCAAGUCAAGUGGAAAAAGUGUCAAAUGUCUGUCCAUUCAUCUUCAUCAGGGGUCCUCUGUGAAACCAGACAGGAGCAAACCAUAGAAACCCAACUGCAAGGAAACAUGAGCCCCCUCUUCCUUCUCACCAUGUGCCUGAAUGAGAUACCAUAUGCAACUUUAUUCAGUGUAGAUCUGUGAGCAAGCAUGUGUAGAGUGUCUGAGUGUGAGUGUGUGUGAGCAAACAUGCGCUGUCCACAGGGAACAAUAUCCUGGUGCUGAUGAGUGUGACGAGGAAAACUCCAGCAUCAGUGAUUUUGUUGCCAGAGGAGCGUCACAACCACUAUGGCCAUCCUCUCAGUCCAACUCAGUGCUGAAGAGCUUUCUGCAUAAAGACCAAGACACAUUAACAAGAGUUUUGUCCACAUCAUACACACGGAGAUUGUCUGCAUUGAACAGAAACAAGCUUCUUCACUCACUCCCUGUUUCUCGUAUAUUAAACGGUACGAAUGGAGUUAAUUGUCAUUCUUGCACAUGACCACUAGUGGGCACUACAUUACUUAAGCUGUACUCUCAAUGAUGGACUCAAGAGGGCAUUGAAGUUCUCUACUAACCUGUGUUUUAGCACCCUUAAUUAUGUCUAUUCUUUACAGUCUGAUGAGACAGUAAAAUUACAUGAUUAGUCCUGAAAUUUACCAGCAUAUUGGCUGCAUUUCAUAAAAACCAUAAAAACCAGCAUAUUGGCUGCAUUUGAUAGGAUGCAUCUGUCCUUGAUCAGCAUUUUCUCAGCUUCUUCUGAUUUUUGUUGUUUGUUGUUUUUUUGUUGUUUGUUUCUCUCAUGUUCAAACAAUUCCUGACCAAUUUUUGCACUGUAGGUGCUGUAUCCUGCUAAACAGGCUACUUCCAUUAGGGAUUAAAGUUGCCAUGAUGGGGUGCAUUUGGCCUGCAACCAUGUUUAGGUAAAAUGUUCCAGCAAAAUAUUGUCCGAGAAUCACAUCACUUCUUCCCAUAGUGCAUCCUCGUCCCAUCUCUUCCCCAAGUAAAUUGCCAUUUACAUGAUGCAAAAGAAAACAUGAUUCAUCAGACCAGGAUACCUUCUUCAGUUGGUCCAUGGUCCAGUUCUGAUGCUCACGUGCCCAUUGUGGGUGCUUCUGUAAUGGACCAAUGUGUGCUACACAGAAGUUUUUCUGUGGCACUGGAGCAGACUUCGCUCUCCUUGGAGAUGAAUAGUGAAUGCAUUUUAAAAAGCAAGGAAGGAAAGAAGCCACUGGAGAGCAAACAACUAGGCAGAUAUCAUAACUGAUGUAAACGCCUGACUUACUUGUAUUUAAUUUUUUAUAACCAUUACUUGUCAGUACUAAGCAGCUAGAUCAGUCGAAAGAUGAAUUUGUAUACAAAAGCAGAUUAACUGCUCAGCCUAAGGAAUCACUAAAUCUCUAAAGUGGAUAUUGAACACUGACUGAUACCAUAAAAAACUUACUGCUAUUACUCAAUCAGGCUGUUCUAGCAUGGAUAAAUCAAUCAUGCGACUUAAAUUGCAAUUAACUUGGCUAAAAUAUUGUUAUCAACAAAAUUGAAUUUUAGAUGAUAAUAAUUUGCUCAAUUAAUAGUCUCUUGACAUACAAGGAGGGGCUUGAAAUCAAAUCAGGUAACCAGUAACCAGUAGUACACUCCCAGUACAUUGCCUUGUGUAAGUAUUCACCCCCUUGGGCCUUUCUAUAUUUAUAGUGUUGCAAUCAGGACCUGAAAUGGACUUAAUCUAGAUUUUAUAUCAUGAGCGUACACAAAAUGAGAGAAAUAAGAUAAGAGAGAUAAGAGAAAAUAAGGGAGAAAUAGAGAAAAAAGAAAGAAAUGAACUAUUCACGGUACUUACAUUUUUGCUGAGUCUCCAACAUAUAGAGAUUUGAUAUGGUUUUUUUGUGAACAGCUUUUGCCAUUUGAGCUGUUGACCUAUCCAGUUUCUUCAGCCUUUCCCUGGGCCUCCUGGUGUAGAUUUGUGACAUAUAAUCCCAAUUAAAUCUAUUUCAGUUCCAGGUCACAGUUUCUUUUUGACGUUACAUAAACUAAACAUUAACUAACUACAUUACAAGGCAUCACUAACUGUAGUCUAUCUGUUACAAUAAAUAACUUCUAUCACAUCCAUAGCCUGAAUGAACCCCAGUGAUAUACCAGCACUUACUGUAGUUUAAAUCCAUUACUUAAUCUCAUGAAUGUUUGCUGGUCAUAUACAAGACAAAUGCUACAUAGUUUGCUAAUUAAUUAAUCAGAGGUAAAAUAUCAUAUAAAUGACAAAGAUUUACCAUUAGCUAGAAUCUGAUUUGCUGCUUAGACUUUAGUUUAGUUAGCUUAUCAACAAAUCCUGGUGGCACACUGUUAGCUACAGGAUCCAGUGCAUUGACAAUGUAUUUUAUUCAUUUAUUAAUGUGAUUAGAUGCUUUGAACUGAAAUAUACACCGAUCAGGCAUAACAUUAUGGCCACCUUCCUAAUUUUGUGUUGGUCCCCCUUUUGCUGCCAAAACAGCCCUG
Molecule: long non-coding RNA, 2703 nt
Organism: Hemibagrus wyckioides
Lineage: Eukaryota; Metazoa; Chordata; Actinopteri; Siluriformes; Bagridae
Exons: 3
Source: RefSeq, a predicted model, not a curated record